Non-coding RNA from Mycobacterium sp. GA-1999, 81 nucleotides. The record is from Rfam. NCBI's taxonomy places the organism in Bacteria, Bacillati, Actinomycetota, Actinomycetes, Mycobacteriales, Mycobacteriaceae.
GUGAUCUAGAUCCCGGGCGUACGAUCGAUCGCACGACGGGUUCGGGAGUGGCUAUUCCGAAGAGUCGGCAAGGGUUGAAAG